This is a long non-coding RNA of Sinocyclocheilus anshuiensis, 273 nucleotides long. RefSeq lists it as uncharacterized. The record is from RefSeq and is a predicted model, not a curated record. NCBI's taxonomy places the organism in Eukaryota, Metazoa, Chordata, Actinopteri, Cypriniformes, Cyprinidae. The transcript has 3 exons.
CAAACUACAGCUGAGAAGACAUGGACUACACUGGAGAUAAACUACAAAUGUUUGGUUUGAUGAUCCCCAAAUGAACAACAGCAGAGAGAGGCCAAGAAUGGAAUCGGGACAUGAUCAGAAUUCAAACCUGCAUUUCUCCCACACUACAGGAAACACGUUGAGAGUGUGCUAAUGAGCCCAGCCCAAAAUCCAGACCAGCUUCACAAUACAGGCCACCACCCCGAGCUCCAGCCUGCCCCCUAUCAGACCGAAGCAGGGGGGGCACAUCCUGUG